UAAGGAAUAUUGGUCAAUGGACGCAAGUCUGAACCAGCCAUGCCGCGUGAAGGAUGAAGGUCCUCUGGAUUGUAAACUUCUUUUAUCUGGGACGAAAACGGGAUUUUUAUCUCAAUUGACGGUACCAGAGGAAUCAGCACCGGCUAACUCCGUGCCAGCAGCCGCGGUAAUACGGAGGGUGCGAGCGUUAUCCGGAUUUACUGGGUUUAAAGGGUGAGUAGGUGGGCUUAUAAGUCAGUGGUGAAAUCUCCGAGCUUAACUUGGAAACUGCCGUUGAUACUAUAGCUCUUGAAUUAUCUGGAGGUAAGCGGAAUAUGUCAUGGAGCGGUGAAAUGCUUAGAUAUGACAUAGAACACCAAUUGCGAAGGCAGCUUACUACAUAUAAAUUGACGCUGAGGCACGAAAGCGUGGGG
Molecule: ribosomal RNA, 413 nt
Filed under: uncultured bacterium
Lineage: Bacteria
Description: bacterial SSU rRNA
Rfam family: Bacterial small subunit ribosomal RNA
Source: RNAcentral